Molecule: ribosomal RNA, 362 nt
Filed under: Libethra strigiventris
Lineage: Eukaryota; Metazoa; Arthropoda; Insecta; Phasmatodea; Diapheromeridae
Description: partial 12S ribosomal RNA
Source: RNAcentral
AUACAAUAAAUUUAAUUUGAUGUUAUUGGUAUUGAAGUUAAUGUAUACAAUGUUGAAUUUAUUAUUCUUAUUUUUAGGUGAAAUUUAAAUUUAAAUUAAAUUUGCUUAGAUUCUUCUAUAAUCAGGUUUUAGACUGGGAUUAGAUACCCCAUUAUUUUGAUAGUUAAUAAUGUCCUGGGUAGUAAUAGUUAUAUUCUUUAAACCCAAAGGAUUUGGCGGUGUUUUAGUCUAUUUAGAGGAAUUUGCUCUGUAAUCGAUAGUCCUCGUUUUAUCUUACUUUUAUUAGUUAAUCAGUAUGUAUAUCGCCGUUAUAAGUUUAUUUUUUCAGGAUAAUUUACUUAAUAAUUUUUAUUUAUAUUUCA